This 535-nucleotide long non-coding RNA is filed under the name Heterocephalus glaber (naked mole-rat). RNAcentral describes it as "lncRNA (ENSHGLG00100042953.1)". The record is from RNAcentral. Lineage: Eukaryota; Metazoa; Chordata; Mammalia; Rodentia; Bathyergidae.
AGUACAGCUUUGUGGGAAAAGGACUCAAAUCAACUUUUGCAUCAUUUCUACAGCCAGAACCAGCUGCAUUUGGAACUAACUGCCUCUCAUUUGUUUACAAGAUGUUGAGAUUAUCCUGGAUUAUUUGAGUGGGCCCUAAGUGCAACCUAUGUAUCCUCAUAAGAAGGAGAUCUGACACAGAAGAAGAGGAGAAGGCAACAGGACCAAAGAGGCAGAGGCAGAGAUUUGAAGGAUGUGACCAUAAGGCUAAGAGUGUUGGCUGCUACCAAAGCUGCGCGAGGCUUCCUUCACAUGCUGACCAUGGUGGGCUUGCCCUUCAACAUCCAAAGUUUUGUCAUCUGGCUGCCCAGGCCCUUGGAUGGCAUCAAACUUCUAUCCACUGCAGUGUGAUGGCUACUGAUCAGAGCUGAGCUGGCCCAGCUGGGGCGACCUCUUCCUUCUAGGCCUGAUCUUUAUAGCUUGUGAGUCUGUUUCUUUGCAGAAAGUAGGCUCUGGUGUGUUUACGUAUAUUUGUUCUAUGAGUGGACAUCCAGGA